ACAGCCCUUCGGGGUCUUUGCUUUCUGCUAGUGUCUGUGGGGUUUUCUGAACAUUGCAGGCUGGUCAGUGGACAUGACCCAAUAGGGGUUGGCCAGGAGGGGACAGGGGCUUGGAAACCUCAGGGAUUGGGGAGACCCCAUGGUUUUUCUGAUGCUUCUCUGGACUUCAUUCAAUGCCAGGAGUGUCUGAUGGACAGCCUGAACUCCUGAAAAAGGCAGACCCUGGGCCAGGGGUUUGAAGGGUUUGGGCAAGACGGCUAGAAGGGACUGGGGACUCUUUGUGCCUAGAGGACAAUUUGAUUCAAAAUAGGAGAUCUUUAGUUUUUCCAAAUAUACUGUUUGUGGAAUAGUUUGAGGCUAGCACAGUGUCUGUAGAACCACAGGGACACUGCAUGUAGAGUGCUAAAUGGGAUACUGUUUUUAGAAUUAUGAGGUAUGUUCUGCACUAGAUUUGGACUUAAAAUUCUGUAUCGGUUAGAAAAACUGUUGCUCCAGUGAGCGAAUCUAUCAAGGAAGGGUGCAGUUGUUGUCUUGAUGGUCUUCCAAAGUCUUCUAGGGACCAUGCGCCCAGUCCUCCUGAAUAUGACUUUCUUAGGGAGCUUUGCUUUGUGAGGACGGUUUCUAAGAGAAAAUGAUUUAUUCAUUGUAAGAGGCAUGCUUGCUAAAUAUUAAAAAGAGGGGGUACCUUUGUUUGUUUCCCUGAGGAAAACAGUCAAGAAAAGGUUAUUUAAAAUUUUGAGAGAUUUUCAAGUAUGUUAGCUAAAAAAUGGCAAAGUAUUUAAAAAUCUUAUCACUCAAGUAACAGCCAGGAGUCGUGUCUUUCUGGAAUUGAUAGGUUUUUGGGGCUAGGUUAGGCAAGAAAUAGCAAAAUGUGGUAGUCUUUUCCCCCAAUUCAAAAUUGAGUUUUGUUGCUAAGAAAUCAAACUUGUUUUUAAAAAUUAAUUGAACAAAUGUGACUUGAGUUGGAAGUCAAGAUGGCUGCAGAGGGGUCUCGGACACCUGCAGCAGGUGGCAGGAAGCAGGUCACACAGGGAGUCUAUUUUCGGAAACAAGAAAACAGCGUUGGUAAAUUUAUAGUUCAUGGUUUUGAAGAAGUGGUUUUCAUAUAGCUGAAAGUGUCCCACUGUGAAAAACAACACCUGGGAAAUUUGCAUUUCUAAAAUAAGGCUCAGAUGCUGACUGGAGAGAUGAAACUUGAGUUCCUUUUUUAACUAGCUGAAUUUAAUUUUUCAGUCUUAGCUUAUCAACUUCUAAUUUAGAUUCAUUUUUCAAAGGAAGGCAUUUAAGACAUGAAACAGUCAGGUAUGGUUUAUGAAUGCAUCAAUAUAACUUUUUAAUUACUCUGUUAUUUAGUAUUUUUCAAAUUCUUUUAUUGUUGUAAAAAAUUGGCAACAUUGGCCAAUUCAACAUUUUUCAUACGUACAGUCCAGGGAGUUCAAUUCCAUCAACCCUGCUGUGCAACAAUCACCGAUACAUUUGAAUAUUUUUGAAGACCACUCUUUAAGUAUUAAUUUCAGGAUUAAAAUUUUGAAUUCAAGAUAUAUAUACAUAUUUUAACUUUAGGUUUAAUUACAGGCGAAGUGAGUAUGUUUGUGCUGAAUUAUUUCAAUUAAACAUGUUAGUUGGUGAAUUAUUGAAAAGUGAGCCAGAGAGCACGUGAGAAAGGAACUUUGGAACAAAAGACUUUUGAAGUGCAGGUGCUGUUUUUGAUAACUGGCCUGGUUCCUGAGUUGAAGAAAAGUCCUUGGUGAGGGGCUAUGUGUGGGUCCACCACGGCCUGGCCCUGGCCGUGCAGUCUCCCAGGACCAUCUGGGACUGGAAACAUGCAAUCCUGGCUUUUGCCACCAAUAGCCAACCUGGCUAUUCAUGAACUAGCAGUUUUUUCAAUGAAUUUGGAGGGAUUAUUCAAUGCCAAAGAGCCUCAAGGGACUUGGGAGUGACCAGACAACAGAGAAGCCUCAACCACGGCCCCAUCAGUCUUUCCCCUGGCCCCCGGCUGUGGGACCACACCCGAAUCCAAGGUGGCCCUGGCCUGCCUGGUCGCCAACUACUUCCCAGAGCCAGUGAUGGUGUCCUGGAACUCUGGAGCCCUGCCUGGUGCACACACCUUCCCGGCCGUCCUGCAGUCGUCUGGCCUGUACUCCCUCAAUAGCAUGGUGACCGUGCCUGCCAGCAGCUGGACCAGCCAGACCUACAUCUGCAACGUCGCCCACCCAGCCAGCAACACCAAGGUGGACAAGAAGAUCGUGCCACGCCAAGCAAAAGACACAUGCACAUGCCCAGCUCCUCAGCUCCUGGGAGGACCCUCUGUCUUCAUCUUCCCCCCAAAGCCCAAGGACACCCUCAUGAUCACCCGAACCCCCGAGGUGACAUGCCUGGUGGUAGAUGUUGGCCAGGAAGACAUGAAGGUCCAGUUCACCUGGUACAUAGAUAACAAGCAGGUGAGCACAGCCAAGACCAGCCAGCCGGAGAAGCAAUCCAACAGCACGUACCGUGUGGUCAGUGUACUCCCCAUCUCGCACCAAGACUGGCUCAAGGGCAAAGAGUUCAAGUGCGAGGUCACCAAUACUGCCCUCCCAUCACCUGUCAAGAAGGUCAUCUCCAAGGCCAAAGGCCAGCCCCGUGAGCCACAGGUGUAUCCCUUGCCCCCACACCGAGAUGAGUUGACCAAGGACAAGGUCAGCCUCACAUGCCUGGUGAAGGGAUUCUACCCCUCUGACAUUGAUGUUACAUGGCAAAAGAACCAGCAACCAGAGCCUGAGAACAGCUAUGCGAACACUGAAGCCCAGGUCGAGGCUGAUGGGACCUUCUUCCUGUACAGCAAGCUCACAGUGCCCAAGAAUAGCUGGCAGCAAGGAAACACCUACUACUGCGUGGUUCUGCACGAGGCACUGCACAACCACCACACCCAGAAGGCCGUCUCCCUGUCUCCCGAGCUACAUCUGGAUGAGAGCUGUGCGGAGGCUCAGGAUGGGGAGCUGGACGGGCUAUGGAACACCAUCUCCAUCUUCAUCACGCUCUUCCUGCUCAGCGUGUGCUACAGUGCCACCGUCACCCUCUUCAAGGUCAAGUGGAUCUUCUCCUCGGCGGUGGAGCUGAAGCGGAACAUCGUCCCCGACUACAGGAAUAUGAUCGGGCAGGCUGCCUAGGGGCUACUGAGAGAGGAACACAUAGGAGCCGAACCCACCACAGGCUUCAGUGGCUCCAACCUCCACCCAAGCUCUACCCUGCCCUCUGGCCCCACCGUUUCAGACACCUCACUGCCCUCUGACCAUGCUAUCUCAUAUCCCUCCUGUCAGAGAACCUGGUGGACAGCAGGUUCUCCCACAGACUCAGCAGCCUGGAUGCCCUGCUACCCCAUACCUAAAUAGCAUUUACAGCAGCACCAGAAGUGCCAUUGGAGUCACCGCACUAGGAGACCCUCAGAAUCAGCUGUGCACGUCCAUUCUGGAGGAGGGGAUGGGCCAGUAUUCCCCAUGUCCAUUUGGAGCAGGGACCUGAGUUCAAACCCCACCCCAGGCCUGGCUCAGAAAGACACCAAAUCUCAAAGAUCCUUGGUGGGGACAUCAUGCACCAAGGCAGGGGAGCCACUGAUCAUCAACCUCAAAAGGGAUACUCCUUGAGAAGUGCUGCAACCUUCACUGAAUGGCCCUUCCUCCAGCCCUCACCUGGCCAGUUCCACCCUGGGAGACCGCAGGGAUUCCCCCACCACUUCUAUGGCCCUGGCCUGAGGAAGAGGUUCCUUUUCAUUUUGAAUGGGAGACUUGGUCUCUGGCUCUUGGGAAAGGGCUUUCCAUCCAAUCCUGGCCUCCUACAAAGUGCUCUUAUAUAUGGGGCUCAACCCAAGGGACAGAACCUCUGCCUGCAUGGUGGCCAAGUGAGGAGCUUGGCCCAGGAUACCCACCAUCUCCCAGCCACCAACCCAGUUCCAGCUAAAGGCCCAGCCUCGCCACCACACAAGAGACCACCUGAGAAGGCCUGGGCCAUAGCCAUGGACACUGCAGUGUCUAGAGGGUACAAGGGCAGGGCUCCUGGGGUGAGGAUGGGCAUCUGUGCCAAACAGGAAGGGCAUCAGGUCUGAGGGGCUAGUGGCCAGACAGCCUGCUAGAAAGAGGCCUGGUGACCAGUGCCAUAGUGGUCAGGGCAUGCCAUGGGAGGCCUCAUCCUUGGGCCUCUGGACAGAGGUGGCCGAAGACAAAGAGAAUGGAAGAGAGGAAAAUGACCAGAUACUGGGAGUGGGCAUCUGGCCAACAAGACUCUGAUGGGAAACCGGGCCAGCCCAGCCACAGGCACUGCACAGAGGUCCCGGGGCCAAGCAUUGCCACCCCUCUGGGCUCUCUGUCUCCCAUCUUCCCUUCCAGCAAAUACUCAGCAGAGUCACACCACAAAGGAACCAGAGUGCUGAGCCCGCAUCUUAAGGUGGGAAGAAGAAUGAUGCAAAUGGAAGCAAAUCACACCAAAGAAAUGCCACAUCCAUCAGCUCUGUAGCUUCUUACCUCUUUUUAAUUUUCUGAAUUUCCUUGAUUUUCUUUCAUGUAAAUGUGUUGUUCUUGUUUUUUAAUUACAAUAAAAUGGACUUACAGUGUA
This is a non-coding RNA of Loxodonta africana (African savanna elephant), 4587 nucleotides long. Lineage: Eukaryota; Metazoa; Chordata; Mammalia; Proboscidea; Elephantidae. The record is from the annotation of a RefSeq genome assembly.